UUGAAAUAUUUCCUAUAAUUCCUAUACUUAGAUUAUGUUUACCAUUGUUGAAAGUCUGUAUUUGUUAUUUAAUUUUUGAAGUCCUGAACUACUGUAGUUGUUUUAUAGUUUCAAAGUCAAAAUCAGUCCCAUUAUUGGUACAAAAUAUUUAGGUUUUCAUUUUGUAAAAGUUUCAUUGUUAAAACUAAAGUGUUGUUGUUUAUUUUUGCCGUUAUCUGAUGAUGUAAAAAAAAAUUGAAUCAUUUUAUGAAGCUUUUUAUUUAUCAAUAGCUUUGAUCUUACCAAUAUUGGGGGGGGGGGGUUCUGAUCCCGUUUGCCGCUUACUUUUUUGUUAGAUUCCCAUAUCAUGCUUACACUAUGUGUGUAAGCUAUUCUAAUUUUUUUUUAAUUUCAUGUGUCCUGCUAGACUUCAUUUCCCCGUUUUCACAGCACAAUGAUUUGUUUUUCACGUGUCAUGCUUUCAAAAAAUUGGCAACCCCCGCGUCACACUUAGACCCUAAAGACACCCACAAUAUUGUUAUGUAGGUUUUAACAAGGCUAUAGCAAUGUGUACUUUAUUGAAACACUCUUGUGGUAUGUAAUGUAAGCAUAAAACUACAAUACUUAGUUACAUAGCUACCUGAUCAGUGGUAGUUUUUGAUUAUCUAGUUGUAAUACAAAUUACUGAAAAUGAUAGCUGUGAAAUUACCAUAGCAAGGGAGAUAAUUCCAAACUGUUG
Molecule: long non-coding RNA, 718 nt
Filed under: Mytilus galloprovincialis (Mediterranean mussel)
Lineage: Eukaryota; Metazoa; Mollusca; Bivalvia; Mytilida; Mytilidae
Source: RNAcentral